AUCUGUGAUGACAAGCUGUCGCCCCAAACGGAGUCCAAAUGACGAUUCGAUUUUAUGCCAAACACACUGAAAAUUCUGAGA
This 81-nucleotide small nucleolar RNA is filed under the name Ogataea parapolymorpha DL-1. The record is from RNAcentral. Lineage: Eukaryota; Fungi; Ascomycota; Pichiomycetes; Pichiales; Pichiaceae.